This 542-nucleotide ribosomal RNA is filed under the name uncultured bacterium. RNAcentral's name for it is "bacterial SSU rRNA". It matches the Rfam family "Bacterial small subunit ribosomal RNA", at positions 355 to 896 of the family's 1533-position model. The record is from RNAcentral.
GGGGGAAUCUUGUGCAAUGGGGGAAACCCUGACACAGCCACGCCGCGUGGAGGAAGACACCCCUAUGGGGCGUAAACUCCUUUUCUGCCGGAAGAAAACCCCAGUCUCUGGAGCUUGACGGUACGGCAGGAAUAAGCACCGGCUAACUCCGUGCCAGCAGCCGCGGUAAUACGGAGGGUGCAAGCGCUGUCCGGAAUCACUGGGCGUAAAGGGUGUGCAGGCGGACUUGUAAGUCAGAGGUGAAAUCCUGCGGCUUAACCGUAGAAGUGCCUUUGAUACUGCAAGUCUUGAGUCCUAGAGAGGUUGUCGGAAUUCGUGGUGUAACGGUGAAAUGCGUAGAUAUCACGAGGAACACCAGAGGCGUAAGCGGACAACUAGAUAGGUACUGACGCUGAGGCACGAAAGCGUGGGGAGCAAACAGGAUUAGAUACCCUGGUAGUCCACGCUGUAAACGAUGAAUGCUAGACGUUGCCCCGUUUUUAGGGGCGGUGUCCAAGCUAACGCGUUAAGCAUUCCGCCUGGGGAGUACGAUCGCAAGGUUG